AUAUUUCGACCUUUUCACCCACUAUCAAUCUAAAGACUUCUUUGGUAACGUGCAUAGUAUGAAGCACCACUAUCGCUAUCUCUUAAGAUAGGUUUUUGUCCAGUCAGAUCUGCACUUCCAUGACUAGCUCUAACGUGUGGUGAAACUUUCUUGGAUAGAUGAAUCAUUCCGAUUAUUACAGAUCCCGAGAUUGAAAAGGAACGUUGCUGUGCUACCUUUGUUAAGGCCUUCACUCU
Molecule: long non-coding RNA, 236 nt
Organism: Hibiscus syriacus
Lineage: Eukaryota; Viridiplantae; Streptophyta; Magnoliopsida; Malvales; Malvaceae
Exons: 3
Source: RefSeq, a predicted model, not a curated record